This 903-nucleotide ribosomal RNA is filed under the name Diadocidia valida. RNAcentral's name for it is "SSU rRNA". It matches the Rfam family "Eukaryotic small subunit ribosomal RNA", at positions 438 to 1263 of the family's 1831-position model. Lineage: Eukaryota; Metazoa; Arthropoda; Insecta; Diptera; Diadocidiidae. The record is from RNAcentral.
AAAUACCCACUCCCAGCACGGGGAGGUAGUGACGAAAAAUAACAAUACAAGACUCACAUCCGAGGCCUUGUAAUUGGAAUGAGUACACUUUAAAUCCUUUAACAAGGAUCAAUUGGAGGGCAAGUCUGGUGCCAGCAGCCGCGGUAAUUCCAGCUCCAAUAGCGUAUAUUAAAGUUGUUGCGGUUAAAACGUUCGUAGUUGAACUUGUGUUUCGCACGGGCAGUACCUACGACUAGGUAACUAGGACGGUGCUUUGUCUUAUCUUCUUUCACCUUUUUAAGGUAGAGAAAAGUGCGUGAACGUAUUAUCGGCGUGUUCGUUCUCGGACGUUCACAUAAGCUUAUUUCAGUGCUCUUAAACGAGUGUUGUUGUGAGCCGAUACUAAUUACUUUGAACAAAUUAGAGUGCUUAAAGCAGGCUUGUAAUGCCUGAAUUUUUUGUGCAUGGAAUAAUGAAAUAGGACAUCUGUUCUACUUUCAUUGGUUUUUUAGACCAAGAUGUAAUGAUUAAUGGAAGCAGUUGGGGGCAUUAGUAUUACAACGCGAGAGGUGAAAUUCUUAGACCGUUGUAAGACUGACUAAAGCGAAAGCAUUUGCCAAAGAUGUUUUCAUUUAAUCAAGAACGAAAGUUAGAGGUUCGAAGGCGAUCAGAUACCGCCCUAGUUCUAACCAUAAACGAUGCCAGCUAGCAAUUGGAUGUAGCUACUACUAUGGCUCUUUCAGUCGCUUCUCGGGAAACCAAAGCUUUUGGGCUCCGGGGGAAGUAUGGUUGCAAAGCUGAAACUUAAAGGAAUUGACGGAAGGGCACCACCAGGAGUGGAGCCUGCGGCUUAAUUUGACUCAACACGGGAAAACUUACCAGGUCCGAACAUAAAUGAGUAAGACAGAUUGAUAGCUCUUUCUC